GACGAACGCUGGCGGCGUGCUUAACACAUGCAAGUCGAACGGAAAGGCCCUGCUUUUGUGGGGUGCUCGAGUGGCGAACGGGUGAGUAACACGUGAGUAACCUGCCCUUGACUUUGGGGUAACUUCAGGAAACUGGGGCUAAUACCGGAUAGGAGCUCCUGCUGCAUGGUGGGGGAUGGAAAGUUUCGGCGGUUGGGGAUGGACUCGCGGCUUAUCCGCUUGUUUGUGGGGUAGUGGCUUACCAAGGGUUUGACGGGUAGGCGGCCUGAGAGGGUGACCGGCCACAUUGGGCCUGCGAUACGGCGCAGACGCCUACGGGAGGCAGCAGUGGGGAGUAUUGCGCAAUGGGCGGAAGCCUGAUGCAGAAACGCCGCGUGCGGAAUGACGGCUUACGGGGUGUAAACCGCUUUCGCCUGUGACGAAGCGUGAGUGACGGUAAUGGGUAAGGAAGCACCGGCUAACUACGUG
Molecule: ribosomal RNA, 468 nt
Filed under: uncultured bacterium
Lineage: Bacteria
Description: partial 16S ribosomal RNA
Rfam family: Bacterial small subunit ribosomal RNA
Source: RNAcentral